UAGAAGCCAAGAACAAAAACUGACAGAAGUUACUAUUCUCUGUAAGAAAAUGAAGAGAGAGCACACAUGACUAAGCACAGGAACCUGAAAAACCACAGGAAUGAAAUGCUGAUAGCUCCUUACUUUGGAGAGUGACUGAAAGAAAACAGAUCAUUCAUACAGUUUACAACAAAGGCAUUUUAUAAUCUGAUUUGUCUAGUUGUGAUGAAGAAUUUUAGUUAAUGGAAGCUGCAGCAGUCUGUCACCAGGAAAUAUACUGCUUUAUUCAGAAUGGGUCAUGUCAGAAUAAUGCUGUGCAUCAAUCAGUCUGGAACUUGUUGUUGCCUAUCAGUCGCUCAGUAGUCAGUGUAGAUUCUGUCUUUACAAUCAGCAGCUACAUCUGGCUACUGGGUCUCUGAUGACAUCUUGUAGCUUCUUUCCAUGCAUUUUGUAACAGAUUAUUUGGCAUUCUUUAUGAUAAUGCAGACUUCAUCAUGGCUCCUAGAUGCAAAACAUUUCACAGUGCUGCUAAGUUAUUUGCUAUCAUUCGGGGUUUGGAAAUCAUAAAUGUCUAAUAAGGAGUGAAGUAUUUGUUGGAUUUACUUUAUAGAAUGGAGUGGAUUAAGUGCAUCUCUUUGUUUUUCUGUUAGAAUGCUUCAAUAUAUUUUCUCAUCUACACAAGUAGCUUAUACCUAAAUUUUUUUAGUAAUGUAAAUAUAGUUCCCUAUGAUGAAAAACGUAAUCUAGAGUUUGUUUUUGAUUAUUGCUUAUGCUUGCUAAAACCCAACAUUCAGAUCUUAAGCCAAACCCAGUCUUUGUGAUCCUACCAUUCAUUUCACUAUAGCAUGUGAUGGGGAGAAUAAGCACCAUAGAUGGUAGUGUAUCCAGCCAUUGGGAGAGGUGUAAUGAUCAAAAUACUGGAAGACUACCCAGGGUUGGGGCAUGAACCUGGCAUACAAUGUAGAAUUCUGUGUUUGUUAAGCAACAGCUACAUUGUCUGCUGGGUUUCAAGCUGCCUGGAAAUACAAAACGAAUUCCAGUCUUAGCACCUAUGUUUUCUGUGUGAGCCUGUCCUAGGUGCUUAACGAGGAAAAUAAGCUGAUCAUCAAACAAGUGAUCAUCCUGGAGUCAGCGGCACUCUGCUAGCUUGGAAUGAGGCUAUCAGCACUUGGCUCAAACUGAAAAUCUAAGUUUCAAGGCACUGAUGCAUUGUAUGUGUUUAAAUGUUGAUAUCUUUUUUUUGUUUGUUUUAUGAGUUUAUUUUCAAGAAGAUUGGAGAUGACUUAUGCUUUCCAGUUUAAAACAUGAUGGUUCCUGAUAUUAAUGCUGUCCCUUUUAUUAAGAUGAGUAAGAAAAGAUCAAUAAACGUAUGAAAAAUCUACCUCUGGAUUCACAUUAAACCAUUAUUACAUACUGUGUAAGCAACCCACUGAAGAUGUUUAUACUGGUGGGGAGGGAGAGGGUUAGUUAUCAUAAUGGGUUGGUGCACCAGCCUUUCACUAGAAUAGCAGUUGAGUCUCUUGCAAAUUGUGUCAUAAGUGAAAAUGAACUUGGCCUGCUGCAUUUGUGCAUAUCAUAGAGCCACACAGUGCAACAGAACUGGCAGUUUCAGAAUGAGACCCAAGAUUGGAAUAGCAGAGGGCUAUUGUAGAUCAGGCUUGAAAGGGCAAAGGCAAAGCUGUGUGGGGAAGCUUGUGCAGCAUAUGCUUAGUAGUCUAUGCCUGUUUCCCGUCUCUGCUGUUUACUGCUCACUGUCAGACUUCAAGUUCACUUGCAUCUUGGUGAAUGAUGAAUAAAGAUCACUCUAAAAAAUUAUAGGAAGAUGACAUUUUAUUUGUGAGGUACACCCUUUGGUCAAGAAUCUUAUUUGUGUGAUGAGACAGGUCUAAAUUAAUAAUGCAGGAAUACAGAGCUUCUUCUGUUUGAAUGCAGUACUCUAAGAGACAAGUAUGAUCUUACCAUGAAAAUCUGCGCUUUCUUAAAGUUCAAAUAAAGCUGCUAA
Chelonoidis abingdonii (Abingdon island giant tortoise) is the source of this 1981-nucleotide long non-coding RNA. RefSeq lists it as uncharacterized. Lineage: Eukaryota; Metazoa; Chordata; Testudines; Testudinidae. The record is from RefSeq and is a predicted model, not a curated record.